GAUGAACGCUGGCGGCGUGCCUAAUACAUGCAAGUCGAGCGAACGGACGAGAAGCUUGCUUCUCUGAUGUUAGCGGCGGACGGGUGAGUAACACGUGGAUAACCUACCUAUAAGACUGGGAUAACUUCGGGAAACCGGAGCUAAUACCGGAUGAUAUUUUGAACCGCAUGGUUCAAAAGUGAAAGACGGUCUUGCUGUCACUUAUAGAUGGAUCCGCGCUGCAUUAGCUAGUUGGUAAGGUAACGGCUUACCAAGGCAACGAUGCAUAGCCGACCUGAGAGGGUGAUCGGCCACACUGGAACUGAGACACGGUCCAGACUCCUGCGGGAGGCAGCAGUAGGGAAUCUUCCACAAUGGGCGAAAGCCUGACGGAGCAACGCCGCGUGAGUGAUGAAGGUCUUCGGAUCGUAAAACUCUGUUAUUAGGGAAGAACAUAUGUGUAAGUAACUGUGCACAUCUUGACGGUACCUAAUCAGAAAGCCACGGCUAACUACGUG
Molecule: ribosomal RNA, 497 nt
Filed under: uncultured bacterium
Lineage: Bacteria
Description: partial 16S ribosomal RNA
Rfam family: Bacterial small subunit ribosomal RNA
Source: RNAcentral